This 305-nucleotide ribosomal RNA is filed under the name uncultured bacterium. RNAcentral describes it as "partial 16S ribosomal RNA". It matches the Rfam family "Bacterial small subunit ribosomal RNA", at positions 505 to 807 of the family's 1533-position model. The record is from RNAcentral.
ACAGCAGUAGCCACGGGAAUACGGAGGGUGCAAGCGUUAAUCGGAAUUACUGGGCGUAAAGCGCACGCAGGCGGUCUGACAAGUCAGAUGUGAAAUCCCCGGGCUUAACCUGGGAACUGCAUUUGAAACUGUCAGGCUGGAGUCUUGUAGAGGGGGGUGGAAUUCCAGGUGUAGCGGUGAAAUGCGUAGAGAUCUGGAGGAAUACCGGUGGCGAAGGCGGCCCCCUGGACAAAGACUGACGCUCAGGUGCGAAAGCGUGGGGAGCAAACAGGAUUAGAUACCCCCGUAGUCCCUGUCCCUUAUAC